This 253-nucleotide ribosomal RNA is filed under the name uncultured bacterium. Its description in RNAcentral is "partial 16S ribosomal RNA". It matches the Rfam family "Bacterial small subunit ribosomal RNA", at positions 524 to 776 of the family's 1533-position model. The record is from RNAcentral.
GACGAAGGAUGCAAGCGUUAUCCGGAUUCAUUGGGUUUAAAGGGUGCGUAGGCGGCUUUUUAAGUCCGGGGUGAAAGCCCGUUGCUCAACAACGGAACUGCCCCGGAAACUGGAGAGCUUGAGUACAGACGAGGGCGGCGGAAUGGAGGGUGUAGCGGUGAAAUGCAUAGAUACCCUCCAGAACACCGAUUGCGAAGGCAGCUGCCUAGACUGUAACUGACGCUGAGGCACGAAAGCGUGGGGAGCGAACAGG